ACACCAUUGGUUUUUGACAACCCACGAAUCUCUCCCAGGCUUCACUGAAGCCUUCCAAGUUCUUCUGUUGAAAGCUGGAAAUCUCAUUUCUCAGCUU
RNAcentral lists this small nucleolar RNA (97 nucleotides) under Brassica napus (rape). RNAcentral's name for it is "Plant small nucleolar RNA R71". It matches the Rfam family "Plant small nucleolar RNA R71". Rfam says of the family: R71 is a member of the C/D box family of snoRNAs containing the C (UGAUGA) and D (CUGA) box motifs. Multiple nearly identical copies of this snoRNA have been identified in Arabidopsis, and it is thought to function as a 2'-O-ribose methylation guide for 18S ribosomal RNA. Lineage: Eukaryota; Viridiplantae; Streptophyta; Magnoliopsida; Brassicales; Brassicaceae. The record is from Rfam by way of RNAcentral.